AAUCUUGGACAAUGGGGGCAACCCUGCUCCAGCCAUCCCGCGUGUGCGAUGAAGGCCUUAGGGUUGUAAAGCACUCUUGUCAGGGAAGAAAAGGCUCGGGCUAAUACCUGGAGCUGCCGACGGUACCUGCAGAAUAAGCACCCGCUAAAUACGUGACAGCAGCCGCGGUAAUACGUAGGGUGCAAGCGUAAAUCGGAAUUACUGGGCGUAAAGCGUGCGCAGGCGGUUCGGCAAGAAGGAUGUGAAAUCCCAGGGCUUAACCUUGGAACUGCAUUCUUAACUGCCGGGCUAGAGUAUGUCAGAGGGGGGUAGAAUUCCGCGUGUAGCAGUGAAAUGCGUAGAGAUGCGGGGGAAUACCGAUGGCGAAGGCAGCCCCCUGGGAUAAUACUGACGCUCAUGCACGAGAGCGUGGGGGGCAAAA
This 421-nucleotide ribosomal RNA is filed under the name uncultured bacterium. RNAcentral's name for it is "partial 16S ribosomal RNA". It matches the Rfam family "Bacterial small subunit ribosomal RNA", at positions 360 to 773 of the family's 1533-position model. The record is from RNAcentral.